Molecule: transfer RNA, 70 nt
Filed under: Dipodomys ordii (Ord's kangaroo rat)
Lineage: Eukaryota; Metazoa; Chordata; Mammalia; Rodentia; Heteromyidae
Rfam family: tRNA
About the family: Transfer RNA (tRNA) molecules are approximately 80 nucleotides in length.
Source: Rfam by way of RNAcentral
GGUUGGGUGGCUCAGUGGUAAAGUGCUUGCCUUGCAUGCAUGAGGCCCUGGGUUCAAUUCCUCAGCACCA